UACGUAGGUGGCUAGCGUUGUUCGGAAUUAUUGGGCGUAAAGGGCGCGUAGGCGGCCAACUAAGUCGGAUGUGAAAUCCCCAAGCUUAACUUGGGAACUGCAUCCGAUACUGGAUGGCUUGAAUCCGGGAGAGGGAUGCAGAAUUCCAGGUGUAGCGGUGAAAUGCGUAGAUAUCUGGAGGAAUACCGGUGGCGAAGGCGGCAUCCUGGACCGGCAUUGACGCUGAGGAGCGAAAGCUAGGGGAGCAAACGGG
This 253-nucleotide ribosomal RNA is filed under the name uncultured bacterium. RNAcentral describes it as "partial 16S ribosomal RNA". It matches the Rfam family "Bacterial small subunit ribosomal RNA", at positions 524 to 776 of the family's 1533-position model. The record is from RNAcentral.